CCGUGGCAACGCCAACAGCGGCGGGAGGCCAGCCCAGCCGGCACGGAGGCGCCCGCACCCCGGAUCCCAGCGCCGCCACGGCCCCUGGAGCGCAGACGCUGCCUCACGUCCUCUCGAGUCCGUGUCUUUAAAAACACAGUCUCCGCCUCCCUCCUGAAAAUGGAGAGCGGCUCGCACCUGUCACAAAUAGCAGGUGGGCGGCCCAAAACACGCGGGAUGGAAACAAAACGUGGCUCUGACAAGUUCUGCAGAAGAGAUACCUGUUGAACAAUUUCCCAGAUGAGCGUGAACAUAAACUCUUUAUCCACAGCAGUUUCCUGGACACAAUUUUGGAGGCCUCUCAUCAUACCACUGCCCUCUCUUGGUCUCCUCUUGUAUCCAGACUGCAACAUGAGACAGAGAAAGGCCAAGAAAACUAACAAUGAAAUAAAAAUUAACAGUCACAAUUA
Molecule: long non-coding RNA, 449 nt
Organism: Leopardus geoffroyi (Geoffroy's cat)
Lineage: Eukaryota; Metazoa; Chordata; Mammalia; Carnivora; Felidae
Exons: 3
Source: RefSeq, a predicted model, not a curated record